RNAcentral lists this ribosomal RNA (322 nucleotides) under uncultured eukaryote. RNAcentral's name for it is "partial 18S ribosomal RNA". It matches the Rfam family "Eukaryotic small subunit ribosomal RNA", at positions 1470 to 1796 of the family's 1831-position model. The record is from RNAcentral.
CCCUUAGAUGUUCUGGGCCGCACGCGUGCUACACUGAGUGGAUCAGCGGGUCAGGUUGCGCGAAAGCGUUUCCUAAUCUUUAAAUCCGCUCGUGAUGGGGAUUGACGGUUGCAAUUUUCUGUCAUGAACGAGGAAUACCUUGUAAGCGCGGGUCAUCAUCCCGCGCUGAAUACGUCCCUGCCCUUUGUACACACCGCCCGUCGCUCCUACCGAUUGAGUGGUCCGGUGAGGCUUUGGGAUCUGAGCGGAAAGAGCGUUUCGCUGUUUCUGCUCGGAAAACUCAGUCGAACCUUAUCAUUUAGCGGAAGGAGAAGUCGUAACA